RNAcentral lists this ribosomal RNA (459 nucleotides) under uncultured bacterium. RNAcentral describes it as "bacterial SSU rRNA". It matches the Rfam family "Bacterial small subunit ribosomal RNA", at positions 355 to 831 of the family's 1533-position model. The record is from RNAcentral.
UGGGGAAUCUUGGACAAUGGGGGCAACCCUGAUCCAGCCAUGCCGCGUGAGUGAUGAAGGCCUUAGGGUCGUAAAGCUCUUUCGCCUGUGAAGAUAAUGACGGUAGCAGGUAAAGAAACCCCGGCUAACUCCGUGCCAGCAGCCGCGGUAAUACGGAGGGGGUUAGCGUUGUUCGGAAUUACUGGGCGUAAAGCGCACGUAGGCGGACCAGAAAGUUGGGGGUGAAAUCCCGGGGCUCAACCCAGGAAUUGCCUUUGAUACUGUUAGACUAGAGUUCGGGAGAGGAUAGUGGAAUUCCCAGUGUAGAGGUGAAAUUCGUAGAUAUUUGGAGGAACACCAGUGGCGAAGGCGGCUCACUGGCUCGAUACUGACGCUGAGGUGCGAAAGUGUGGGGAGCAAACAGGAUUAGAUACCCUGGUAGUCCACACCGUAAACGAUGAAUGCCAGUCGUCGGGUAGC